CAGCCGCCGCGGGAAUACGAAGGGGGCUAGCGUUGUUCGGAUUUACUGGGCGUAAAGGGCGCGUAGGCGGACUGAUAAGUCAGGGGUGAAAUCCCAAGGCUCAACCUUGGAACUGCCUUUGAUACUGUUUGUCUUGAGUUCGAGAGAGGUAAGUGGAACCGCGAGUGUAGAGGUGAAAUUCGUAGAUAUUCGCAAGAACACCAGUGGCGAAGGCGGCUUACUGGCUCGAAACUGACGCUGAGGCACGAAAGCGUGGGGAGCAAACAGGAUUAGAUACCCCCGUAGUCCCUGUCUCUUAUAA
This 301-nucleotide ribosomal RNA is filed under the name uncultured bacterium. Its description in RNAcentral is "partial 16S ribosomal RNA". It matches the Rfam family "Bacterial small subunit ribosomal RNA", at positions 509 to 809 of the family's 1533-position model. The record is from RNAcentral.